Molecule: long non-coding RNA, 19220 nt
Filed under: Vitis vinifera (wine grape)
Lineage: Eukaryota; Viridiplantae; Streptophyta; Magnoliopsida; Vitales; Vitaceae
Description: long non-coding RNA (VVIN_LNC003902)
Source: RNAcentral
UAUGGGGAGCAUUAUCUCCACAAGUUUUACAGGCCUCGCUCAAUGUGGCUCCAGAGUUUGAGCAGCUUUUCAGGGCGAAGAUAAAAAAGAGCACCAUUCUUGUUCCUCCACAGAACUAGAUUGAUUAAUAACCAAAGGCCCUCAUGAUGUAUCAUCAUUUGUUUUCAGGAGUUACAGGGCUAUCAAAAUACAAUAAUUGUACUCCUAAGUAUUUCUUUUAUAUGUGUAUCCGUGAGAUGGAAAAUGUUGUACAACUAUUAAUUAUAUGGCAAUAAAUUAGGUUAUGAACCUUAGUGUACUCAUUCUGAGUGCAUAUAUAUUUGUCUAUGAGAGUGAUGGUUUUAUUCCCAUCUUUAACCUAAUUGACUAAUGAAAGUGGACAAUGCUAUCAUCUCUUUCCUUCAAUCAAUCAUCACCCACGUCCCCAUUAUCAAGGGGCCUUGCACCGCUGUCAUUCCUUCUCAUGAAAGAGAGUCAAAGGCGAAUCUACAAGGGGAUAUUCUUGGAUCAGAGGUAGAUCCAAGGCUAUAAACUCGGCGGACCACAGCUUUGAGUAGUUCCGCGCAGCAUACUGCAAUGACAACCCAUUCGUAUAUAUACCGAGUUCAGAGCCACAGCCAGGAGGGAUAAACUUUAGUCAAGAGGAGAACUGUCCAGAGAGACAGAGGGGGCAACGAUCAUGGGUUCUUUCUGUAAGCAUCAAAACGCUAACCCUGAUUAAUGAUUUCUCUCUUCUUUUCUAUAUCUAUGUGUGUGUUUGAUGAUUGGGUUGGUUGAUUUUUUCUUGUAUUUGCAUCAAUUGGGCCUGCAGUUCUUUGUAUUUGGGUUUUGUUAUUGAAGUUGAUUUGCUUCUGAUACUGGUGUUUCCCUUCUGGGUUUUGUUUGGUUUCCUCUUUUGGUUGUGGUCUUAUACUGGAUUGUUGGGUUUUUCUGGUUUUGUGCAAAUUAAUAGCCAAUGCCAAUGUACAGUAUCUGGGAAUGAGUUAACAGUUCCAAAACUGUUUUUUUUCAAUUAGAUUUUAGCCUUUUUUACAUCUAUGGAAAUCCAUUUUUCUGACUGGGUUUUGUUGGAUCACUUGAUUCUAUGUGCAUUGAUUUUUAAUUUGUAUAUACAGAUAUAUGCACAGGUAGCAUUAAUUGCAUUGAUAUUGGAUACCAGUCAAUACUUUGGAAAAAUAAUAUAUUUGUUAAUGAGGGUUGACUUAGGUUUCCCAGUCCAGAAUCUUACCUAGAUCCAGCCUGUUUAUGUAGUUUUUGGACCAACCUGAGAUUAACUCCAGCCUCAAGGAGUUGCCAGCUCUAGCAAGACCUGUCAUUGGGAGAUCAUGUUCAUACUUCGACGAAGAUAGACAAUUAAGACUUUAUUUUUUUGACAAAAAGUGAGAAUGAGAUGGAGAGAAGGGGGGAAGUAAAGUAAAUUAAAAGAAUAUAUAUAUAUAUAUAUAUAUAUAUAUAUAUAUUAAGGUCUACGUGGAUCUAGAGGGACUAAUUUGCAUAUAAGUUUCAAAAGCAGUCUAAUUUUCAUAUUAUGCAUGCAUCGAAGCCUAAUUUGCCCCAAAAUUUAUCGUGAAUAAUCUACUCGUCACCUAACUUAACCAAAAAAAACAAAAAAAACUACUACUAUUAUCUAUUUAUCUAAAAUUUAUAAAUUAGACAAUCCUAAUAAUAUUUUAUAUUAAUAUUAGUAAUCCUAAAUAAUUUCCAAUGCUAAUAUUAUUAUCACUAAUAUUAUUUUCAACUUCCUAAUCGAUAACAAUUUAAUUAAAGAAUUUCCAAAUUUCCAUAAAAUAUAUGUUCUUUCCAAAAAUCUAUUACCAAUAAUCACUCAUAUCUAUAUAUUUUAAACAAAAACUCCUAAAAUUGUUUUCUUUUUGUCUUUUAUUAAAUUAUUAUUAUUAUUAUUAUACCAACUUUGUACUUCACCAAAUUCUCAAAAUUUAUUUAUUUUUUUUUUAAUUUUUCACUCACCCAUGUCAGGUUUAGUCCUCUAAACUUGACAUAUCUGAAUCUUGAAAAAAAAUGUAGAUGCUUCUCUCAUCUCCUCAUCUAAUUCCCAAGCGGCCUCUCGAAUACUGUAAUUACUGCAUUAAACCUCUACCAACUUGGCAAUAGCAUAACCUAGUACCUUAUCUAUUGCACCUACAAUUAGAACAUGUACUUCUUCAUUAGUCAAAUCCUUUGACAUUUGAAUAGGCUCCAACUCUACAACAUGAGAGGGAUAAAAAACAUACUUCCUCAAAGCUGAUACAUGAAACACAUUAUGAAUCUUAAACAAUUUUGGGGGCAAGGACACUUUAUAUGCCAAGGUGGCUACUCUUUCUAAGAUUUCAAAUAGUCCCACAAACCGAGGAUUAAGCUUUCUGUUUCUCUCAAAUCCUAUUGUAGACUUUGUAGGCGAAACUUUUAAGAGAACAUGAUCACCAACCUCAAACUCCAAAUCUCAUAUGUGAUUAUCAGCAUAACUCUUUUGUUUACUUUGAGUUGCGUUCAAUCUUUAUUUAAUCAAGUCAACCUUUUCAAUAGUUAACUGCACAAGUUCAAGCUCCAAAAGUUCCCUCUCUCUGACAUCAUCCUAAUAAAUAUGAGAUCGACAUCUCCUACCAUACAACCCCUCAAAAGGUGUCAUUCCAAUGCUAUCUUGAAAGCUAUUAUUAUAGGCAAACUUUACUAAAGGUAAUUAAUCAUCUCAAUUACCUUUCAGGUCUAAAGUAUAAGCUCUCAACAAAUCUUCUAAAACCUGAAUUCCCUCUUUAAUUGACCAUCAAUUUGAGGAUGGAAACCAAUAUUAAAACUCAACUUAGUAACCAAAGCUUUUUGUAAACUAUGCCAAAAUCUAGAAGCAAAAUGAGGAUCCCUAUCGAAUACUAUAGAAAUAGGUACCCUAGGCAUUCUUACAAUCUCCUUGACAUAAAGAGAAGUCAAUUAGUCCAUGGAGAAAGUAACUUUCAUAGGUAGAAAAUGAGUAGACUUUGUUAAUCGAUCAACAAUCACCUAAAUAAAAUUAUUACUGCCUAAGUGGCAACCUUAUCACAUAAUCCAUGGUAAUAUGUUCACAUUUCCAUUUAAGAAUAGAAAGUGGUUGCAAAGACCUUAUUGGGCAUAUAUGCUUAGCUUUCACUUGUUAACACACCAAACACUAAGCCACAAAUUGUGUAAUAUCUCGCUUCAUGCCUGACCACCAAUAAUUUUGCUUCAAAUCUUUGUACAUCUUUGAGCCUCCUAUGUGGAUUAUAAGUCUAGGACAAUGAGUUUCCUUCAAAAACUCUCUCCUUAAGUCUCCAUCAUUUGGGACACAAAGUCUAGUCCCAAAUAUUAAGAUUUCAUCAUAUGACAACAUAAAGGCAAGCUUACCGCUCUUUUUAACUUCCUUCAUAAGUUGGACCAAUUACAAAUCAUUCUUUUAUGGGGUCUUAAUUAUCCUAACCAAGUCUUGUUGUACUAUGAAAUUCACUACAAGAGAUCUUGAGUUCUGAACAAUGAUAUGGAUUUGUAAACACCUCAAAUCCUUUAGUAACCGCCUCUAACAACUUCUAAUAGUUGCUAAGGAACCAAUUGAUUUCCUGCUCAAGGCAUCAACCACAACAUUUGCUUUCUUUGAAUGAUAUUGAAUAACGUCGUCAUAGUCCAUAAGUAACUCUAUCCAUUUCCUUUGUUUCAUGUUUAAUUAUUUUUAGGAAAACAAAUACUUCAAGCUCUUAUGAUUUGUAAAUAUCUCACAAGUUUCAUUGGAAAGGAAAUGUCUUUAAAUCUUAAGUGCAAAAACACCAUAACUAGCUCCCAAUCAUGAGUGGGGUAGUUUUGCUCACAAGGCUUUAACUGUCUAAAAGCAUAAGCCACAACUUUCUUAUUUUGCAUAAGAACACACCCCAAACCCUAAUGAGAAGCAUCAUUAUACACUCAUGUUCCUCUACUUCUCGAGUACACUAAAAUAUUAUCUAUAAAAACCAUGACAAACUAAUCUAGAUAAGGUUUGAAUACCCUAUAAGUUCAUAAAGGCAGUAGGUGCAUUAGUUAAACCAAAAGGCAUAGUAAAAAAAUCAUAAUGCUAUCUAGUUUCAAAAAACAUUCUUGGGUACAUCCUCAUUUCUAACCCUUAAUUGAUGAUAUCUAGAUUGAAGAUUGAUCUUAGAGAACACACAUGCACCUUGAAGCUGAUCAAACAAAUCAUUAAACUGAGAAAGAGAAUACUUGUUUCUCACCAUCACCUUAUUCAACUCUCUAUAAUCAAUGCAAAGUCUUAUUAAUCCAUCAUUCUUCUUCACAAAUAAAAUAGGAGCUCUCUUCACAAAUCAUCAAUCUGAGGAAGAGAAUACUUGUUUCUCACAAUCAUCUUAUUUAACUCUCUAUAAUAAAUGCAAAGUCUCAUUGAUAGGUAAUUCUUCUUCACAAAUAAAAUAUGAGUUCCUUAAGGUGAAACAUUGGGCCUAAUAAAACCUUUAUUUAACAACUCCUAAGGUUGAAUCUUCAACUCCUUAAGUUCUAUAGGUGCCAUCUUGUGUGAGGCCUUAGAGAUAAGAGUUCUUCAUGUUACCAAAUCAAUGGUAAACUCCACCUUCCUCUAGGGGGAAGCUAGGCAAAUUGUCUAGAAAGACAUAAGGAUAAUUCCUUACAAUGGGUAUCUUCUCCAACCUUAAAUAAUUUUCAUGACUCACCACAUAUGCCAAAACGCCUUAAUAAGCCUUCCUUAUCGGGCAAAUAACUAGUUUGCAAGGCUGAGAUCAUACACAAUGGUCUAUCCACAUGUUUCCCCUCACAACUAAACUCGAGUUGACAAAAAAUGUGAAACAUCACCCUUUUUCCAAAACAAUCAAUAGAGGCAUGAUAGGAAGCUAAUCAAUCCAUUCCCAAAAUCACAUUAAAAUGCUAAAGGUCAAGGAAUACUAAGUUAACUAACAUCUCCCUAUAACCAAUAUAUCAUCAUAAGAUAAUCUUUAAGCAUUCUAUUGGCCACAUCAGAAUCUCUUAAAAGAGUAGCAACAUUAAUCAAAUCAAAGUCCAUGCUAGCCACUAACGUACGUAAAAAACUAAUGAAAGAUAUUGAAACAAAAUAGUGCAUUGUGCUUGAAUUCACCACUAAGAAACCAAUUAGGCAAUUUAAAACCAUCAGGAAGAAUAUGUAGGAUUAAUUUGUACUAGAUGAAGCUAAAACUUAAACUAAUGUGUCACUCUUCUAUCCCUAAAGUAAACUAAAUCAAGUUCGCAACAAGAUCAUAACCUAAUGCUCUGAUACCAUUCUAUCACGCCCCAAAACCUACUCUAAGGGUGUGAUGGUCAUUUUACACCUCAAGAUUAAAGGCUUAAAGUGAGAAUGACUCAAAUAGUCAUCUUAUAACUAGAAGGUUAACAAUUACUAAAUUCUUGUUCAAAGUAUUAAAAUAAAACAUUUCUAUAAUCCUUAAAUCUCAACUUUAAAACUAACACAUCAAUCAAAGUACUAUUGUCCAAAUAACUUCAAACUCAAAUAAUUCAAAUAAUAAUUAAAUUCUAACAUCUAAAUAAUAUCCAAAAUAAAGUUUAAAAAAAAAAUCCUAACAAAGACAAUUUCCUAGCCUAACCAUCACUCCUCGCUUGAAUUGAGAAUACUAGAAAAAAAUUAUCAACGAAAGGGAAUGAACUCAAAACCCAAUAAGAAAUACUAACAUAGUUUCAUAAAUCAAACAAUUUCAAUUAUGAUUACAAAUUAGCAAUGUUUUCAUAACCAGACUAGUCAUUGAACCGAAAAAAUUACCGGUUCACGAUUCACUGAUAGGAUCGGCGGUCGUAUCGUGGUUGAACCGGUGAUGCAAUAAAUAUAUAAUUUAUAUAUUAUUUAAAAUUAAAAUAAUUAUAAAAAAUUAAAAAUAUAUAAAAUUAAAAAUUUUAAUAAUGUUUGAUUUUUAUAUUUGGUAUAUUAAAUUAAAUGAUAAAGUUUAAUAUUUUAAAUUUUAUUAAAUAGAAAUAUGUAAUAUUUAAGAAUGAAGAUAUAUUUAAGAUGAAAAAAAUUUAUAAUAUUUAAUUUUAUCUUUUUGUCUUUGUAUUUUAUUGUUUUAAAAUUAUUAUAUUAAUUAAUUUAUAUUAUUUUUUAUUAUAAUUAUUAUCAUAUUAUUAUUAUAAAAAUAAACAGGAAUUUAAAUAUUUACAUUUCUUUAAAGAUUUUAUAUAAUAAAAAUUUGAGAUAAAAACAUUAAUAAUAGAUUCUUAAUAUAUAUAUAUAUAUAUAUAUAUAUAUAUAUAUAUAUAUAUAUAUAUAUAUAUAUAUAUAUAUAUUAUUUUUAUUUUUUUUUAACAACAUCAUUUAAUAAAUAUGGUGCAAUGCUCAAUGGUUCAAAGACUUCAAACUUUAAUAUUUAAGAGAUCUGUGCAUCCAGUCCUUCAAGAAGCAAUGUUUUACUUCUAAUUAAUCCCAAUCCUAGUCCCACAUUGGAAGCACAUGAAUUCUAUGUGCUCUAUAAAUACCUUGCAACAUCCCUUAUAAGCCAAACUUGCCAGCAUAUUGGGCCUGGAGGCAUGACCCAAAUAUAAGUUUUAUAAGCAUUUCUUGUCAUUGGAUUGGGCCUAGUGGUUUGGACCAAAUAUGGGCUUAUAAUUAGUUUUAGUUUUAAAAGUAGUGGGCGUGGAAUGGGCCUCUUAAUAGUAAACAAAUAUUUGUAGCAAUUGAGGUCUGACCAGUUUAUAAAAAAUUGGACAGUUUGUCUGAUUCGGUGGUUCAACCGUCGGUUUGAACAGUUUCAUGCCAAUUUGACCAUGAAAUGGUUCAUUAAGAUGGACUGAACUGGAAAGUUCACCAGUUGACGAUUCGAACGGUCGGACCGGUUGGUUUGGUCCAAUUUUUAAAACAAUGCAAAUAAGAGAUACAAUAUACAAUCUUUUUCAUAAAAUGAGUUUGAAUAUACUAAAGCAUCCAAAUCUUUUCAUUUUUUUUAUUAUAUAUAUAUAUAUAUAUAUAUAUAUGUCAAAACAAUUUCAUACAAAUCAUGCAUUCAAAAUAUUUUACUUUGGUUAUUAGAUAAGAAAUGAUGCCCAGUUAAGUGAGACUAUACAAAUGGGUGGCUAACCUCAAAUUUAUUUUUUUUAAGGUGGACGAAACCAAAUACUACUAUACUAGUAACCUCUAACCAAACCCUUAAAGGUUGAGAUUCAAAGCAAUUACAUUCCCCACCAAUAAAUAUAAAGGUUAACUAUUAUAUCUCGUUGAUAAGGACAAUAAAUGUUAACUAUUAUAUCUCAUUAAUUAGGGCAAAAAAUGUCAACUAUUAUAUCUUGUUGACUAGGGUCAAACAAAUCAGAAUCAAACACUUCGUUUCAUUUAUUCAAACAUACAUAACAUAAUAUCUCUAUAUUUUUUUGUUAUAAUCAAAAGAAAAAUAUUUUAAUAUAUUUUUCAUGCAAAAUAUAUUUGAUCCAUAAAACAAAAAUAAUAUUUUACAUAUUUGAAAAUAACAUAUAAAAAGAAAGUCAUUUUCUUUUACAAAAUUCACAUUAAUUUCUCUUACCUCAAAUAUGCACUCAAAAACCUUAAAGAAAUUAAUUGUGUAGAAUCUACUCCUUACAUCACAUAAAAAAAAAAAAAAAAAAAAAAACUAUUACUAUUGACUAUUUAUCUAAAAUUUAUAAAUUAGGCAAACCUAAUAAUAUUUUAUGUUUGUAUUAGUGAUUCUAAAUAAUUUCCUAUGCUAAUAUCAUUAUCACUAAUAUUAUUUCCAACUUUCUAAACCAUAACAAUUUAAUUAAAGAAUUUCCAAAUUUCCAUAAAACAUAUGUUCUUUCCAAAAAUCUAUUGUCAAUAAUCAUUCAAUCAUUCAGCCAUACAUUUUGUUCGAUAUUUUGGGACAAGAGCAUCUAUUUUCAAUCCCAUGUGUAGCAAGAAGGGAGAGCUUUGAAUUUACUUCCAUUAUCAGAUUAUAAACAUUGUAAUCAACAAUUGAAUUGAUUUUCAGCUAAGGUUUUGAACUUAUGGAAGGUAGGCAAAACUUGAUCUUUAGUAUGUAAGGGAUAAAGCCAAGAAAACUAAGAAAAAUUAUCAAGGAAUAUUAAGAAAUAACUUGCACCAGUUGUGGAGAUAACAGUGGCAGGACCUCACAAAUCGGUGUGAACUAAAGCAAAAGGAUGAGAAGCUCUAGAUUCAGAUAAUGGAAAAGGUAAUCUCUGGCUUUAUGCAUAUUAGUAAGCACAACAAACAUUAUGUCUAUGGCAAUCAUUAGAGAUAUUACAAGAUGUAAGAAUUUGCUUCAAAGUAUUAUCAACAUGAUGACCAAGAUGGGAGUGCCAAAGUUCAGCCAAGUUAUCCAAAUUCAUAAUAGAGAAGCCAUGACUGGAAGUAAAUUAAGAGGGCUGAAGGUGCAUCAUAAUAUUUAUUGUGUUUCCAAAAAUACAUUAAUAGAUUAAAUCCAAAAUCUUUUAUUUAUUUAUUUAUUAAUAAUUUUAAGAAGGUAGCUAUGAAUUGGAUAUUUAAAAAAAAUCAUUUUACAAUAAUUAAUCCCUCUCUAAUUUAUUUUGCAUGCAAUGUGAUAUUUCAUCCUUAUUAAUCAAAAUAAAUGUCCACAAAAAUAAUCAAAUUAAAUAAUAUAAACUUCAAAUUAUCAACUAUCAAGGUGUUCAUUUUGUUAGAUUCAUUAAAUCGAGGCCAACAUGUAUUAAACGAUAAAUUUAAUUAUUUUUAUAUUUGUCCAAAUAAUUCAAAAAAUUAAUAAAAUAUUUACAAGCUAUUGCAUGGUGGUAGAACAAGAAGUUUAGGUGGACCUUAUCCCAUGGGGGACGUUGAGAAGCUACUUACAAAGAUAAGGUUCCUGAUAAACCUUAUCUCACACAUCAUUCGUGCUUAUAAUUCCUUUACUUUUCAACUUUGUGAAGAUAUUUUUUUCAUUGAAUAAGAAAAUGUUACGAUAAUAAUUUCCAACGUGUGAUAAUUGGAAAAUUCGAGAAGGAAGAACAAGGGCAUCAAUUUUUAGGCAGUAGACAAAAAUGUCAAAUUUCCACAUGUCCAAAAAUGUUGAUUCGCGACAAAACAUACGUCUCUUUUAGGUAUUAUCAGUUUGUUUGAUUUUGAAAUUUGAUUUUUUUUAUAGGGGCUUUUUGGAUACAAAAUUUUUACUUGUAGCGUUUUCUCAAGUAGAAAAUUUUUACAAGAUAACACUAAUUUUAGAUAUACUUUGCCACCAUCAUCUCUCCAAGGGAAUGUCUCAUGCACCAUUCAAACUUUAUGGUUAUAUUUAUCUUUUGAUUAAUUGUAUUGCAUGCAAUUUUGUAAAAGCCCAAUAUGAACUCAAAUUCUAUAGAAAUAUUAGUUUGUAAAGAGUUUGAAAACCAGGAAGAGAUGAUGAAUUUGCAGAAGUCAAAAGAAAAGGAUAAAUCUUCCAAACUCUAGAAGAUGGAUUGUGUGAAAAGCAAAGAGAAAAAUGUAUUAUACAAGUAAAGUCCAGAAGAUGGGCAAUUUUCCUACUCAACCUCCUCCCGAACUCUAUAAAUACUCCCCUAAUCUUCCUCAUAUAUUCAUCUCUCAAAAGUCUCUCUUCAUCUCUUUCAUAACAUUCAACUUAGUCUCUUUCUAUUGUUUCUCAUAAAAUCAAGGUUUGUACUCACUCUUAUCUAUCUAUCUAUCUAUUUAUAUGUAUAUGUUAGUGGCCUUCAAUGUACACAUCUGAGAACUAUGGAUGAAUGAUAUGACCUGAAUUUCAAAGAUGAAGGUUGAGCUUGUUUUUCCACAUUAGCCCACUUUGUCUACUCUACCCCAUUACUCCACCUGAUUUUCAUUAUCUCUCUACAUGAUCUUAAUUGUAGUCUUAACCUUUUGAUCUGUGUUUUGCAGGCAGUCGUUCAUUUGCUUUCUUUCAAAUAUACAGACAUAAUCCAUGGAGUUGAACUUAGCACCAAAGUUUGCACAAAAGAUCUUCGAAGGAGAAGGUGGAACAUAUUACCGUUGGUCAAGUGCUGAAUAUGAAUUGCUCAAGGAAGCAAAGGUUGGUGGUGGAAGGCUUGUUCUGCAGCCUCGUGGCUUCGCCCUCCCUCACUAUGCUGACUCCAACAGAAUUGGUUAUGUUCUUCAAGGUCUGUAAAUCCCCGAGCUUUUUAUGUCUUAUUCUUAAUUAGAACUCUUUUUCUAUUUCUUUUUUUUUUUUCUUUAGAGAAUUGUUAAUUAUUCCUCCCUAAAAUAUCCACCUCAAUUUUCUUUUCUUUCUCAAAAAUUAGAACAAAAAGAGUGCACACAGCCAUGGUAGUCGGCUGUGACUGGUGUGAGAGGGAGAGGGAGUCGCCAUGACAUGCAAGAAUGAAGAAGAGAAGAAAGGAACAAGACUAGAAUUGAAGAAAGAAAAGGGAUAAGAGAGAGAUGAAAGAAGUUGAGGGCUAGGGUUAUAUUUGGGAAAAGGAAAAAGAAAUUGAAAAGAGAGAGAGAGAGAGAGAGAAAGUGGGCCCUUCAAUAUUUCUCUUUUAUUUUUUUUAUGUUUCUGUCAAAAUGAUUCUCCGAUAUUACCCACUGUGCCAUCAAACCCUAUCCAGUGGCUCAUUUAUGAAAAUAUAUUUUGUCCACAUCCAGGCAGCUGUGGAGUAGUUGGAAUCGUACCACCCAAAGCAUCCCAAGAAGUGGUGUUGAGGCUCAAGAAAGGAGAUAUAAUACCAGUGCCCUCUGGAGCAGUUUCAUGGUGGUACAAUGAUGGAGACUCAGAACUAAUUAUCGUAUUCCUUGGUGAAACUUCCAAGGCUUAUGUUCCCGGAGAAUUCACAAACUUCCUACUAACCGGAACUCAAGGAAUCCUUGGAGGUUUUUCCACUGAAUUUAACUCCAGAGCCUAUGAUAUCAACAACGAAGAGGCCAAAAAGCUUGCAAAAAGCCAAUCUGGCGUCUUGAUAAUUAAGCUACCAGAGGGCCACAAAAUGCCCCACCCCUGCAAGAACAGUACUGAUAAAUUGGUGUUUAAUAUUGAUGCUGCAUUACCUGAUAUCCAUGUCCAAAAUGCUGGAUUGCUUACUGCAUUGACAGCAAAGAAGUUUCCCUUCCUUGGAGAAGUUGGGCUCAGCGCCACCCUUGUGAAGCUGGAUGCCAAUGCCAUGUCCUCACCGAUGUACGCUGGUGAUUCGUCGGUUCAAGUAAUUUAUGUUGCAAAAGGGAGUGGAAGGAUUCAAGUUGUUGGUAUCAAUGGUGAACGUGCCUUGGACGCGAAAGUGAAGGCUGGUCACUUGCUGCUUGUGCCAAGGUUCUUUGUGGCUUCUGCCAUUGCAGAUGGUGAAGGACUGGAGUACUUCUCAUUGAUAACAGCUACAGAGUAGGCAUCAAUCUAAUAAAUUGUUUUCUCUUUAAACAUCAUCGAUUGUAGGGUUAAUUACUAACUAUUUGUUAUUUGUCUUUUGUUCGUUUACAGACCUAUAUUUGGCGAAUUUACUGGGAAAACAUCAGUAUGGGGAGCAUUAUCUCCACAUGUUUUACAGGCCUCUCUCAAUGUGGCUCCAGAGUUUGAGCAGCUUUUCAGGGCAAAGAUCAAAAAGAGCACCAUUCUUGUUCCUCCACAGAACUAGAUUGAUUAAUAACCAAGGGCCCUUAUGAUGUAUUAUCAUUUGUUUUCAGGAGUUACAGGGCUAUUAAAAUACAAUAAUUGUACUCCUAAGUGUGUCUUUUAUAUGUACAUCUGUGAGAUGGAAAAUGUUGUACAACUAUUAAUUAUAUGGCAAUAAGUUGUUCCUUUGUGUGAUCAGAAAAUCUAUUGCUGCAUUGAUUUUGAAAAAUUUCAAGAAAUAGCCUAUUAGAAGCCUUAAAUUAGGUUGUGAACCUUCUUGUACUCAUUGCGAGUGCAUAUUUGUCUAUGAGAGUGAUGGGUUCAUUCCCAUCAUUUACCUAAUUGACCAAUGAAUGUUGACAAUGCUAUCAUCUCUUUGCUUCAAUCAAACUCUGUAUGUAAACUACACCAUUCAAGUCAUCAUCAAUAAAUCUCCUAAAAAUGAAAGAGAGAUUUAAAUGUGCCUACGCUUUAUGGUCUUAUACCAAUCAAAACCUACACAAUCAUUCAUGUUCUUGACACAAUAUCUCAUGCUUCUUAAUGAAUAUUUCAACUUCAUACCGAGAGUGACAAAUUAUAUGUAUCCUCUAUUUUUGUUCAAAGAAUCUUUCAAGAUUGGUCUUAAAAUUAAACUUGAGAGGUGGGGAACUAAGGCUAAAAGGAUGACUACAUUCACGUGUAUGCCCCUCAAUUCAAUGAAGUAAUUUAUUUAUUUUCAAACGGUUGAAGAUAAAUUUGGAGAGCUACAUCAUAUUGUGGACCACUAAUUUUUUCCUAACAUGGGAUAGAAUAAGAAAAGAGAUACUAUAUCUUAUCCCAUGUCUGGAUGGUGAUAGGAUAGAAUCAAUUAUAUCAUCAAUUAUCCUAUCCUAUAUUCAACCAAACAUUGGAUAUGAUAAGUGUUGAAUAUAUUAUUCCUGAGAUAUGUUAAUUUCAUACUAAGAUAUGAAAUAUGCAUAUCCCAUAUAUCAUAAAUUUAUUUUUUAUUUUUUUAUACUCAUUUUGUAAAAUAUUUUUUUAUUAUAAAUUAAAUUCAUGAUUAAAAAAUAAAAAAUAUUAAUAUAGAAUAUAUAAUAUAUAAUUUAUUUUUAUAUAUCAAAUAACAUAAUAUAAAAAUUUUAAUUUAUAAAAUUUAAAUAAUUUAAUCAUGAAUAUUGUCAAAUAUAAGAGAAACUUCAUUUUUUAAAAUAAAAAAAUUAGAAUGUGAUAUAAUUUUUAUUUUAAACAUUAAAAAUAAUACAUAUUGGUGACUUUUUAGUGAUAACAGAUGAAGAAUGGGUAGAAUUGUCAGGGUAUAGGUAGGAUAAAAAGAGGUAUGAGAUGACAAAGAGAUGGAGUGGUCAAAUGAUUGGUGAAAUGGAAACACCACUUCAUCAAAGAUGAUAUGCCGAGUUAUAUGCAUUCUGCCAGAAUUGUAAUCUAAGCAAAACUAACCUUUGUGAAUUGUGCAAAGUGAUGUUAGGCAUGCGAUUAAUAAGGAAUAUGACAGUAUGGAACGCAUAGAGCCAGAACUUCCAAGGUAAAGAAGUAGUAGCUAAGAGAGCCAAACCAGUUUCUAAUAUGUGCCUCAUCUUUUCUGUUUUGGGGUAGAAGCAUCUGUUUUCAAUCUCACAUGUAGCAAGAAAGAGGGUGAAAGCUUUGAAUUCACCUCCAUUAUCAAAUUAUAAACAUUAUAAUCGAGAAUUGAAUUGAUUUUCAACUAAGGUUUUGAACUUAACAAAGGUAGGCAAAGCUUGAUCUUUAGUAUGUAAGGGAUGAAGUGAAGAAAAAUGAGAAAAAUCAAGGAAUAAUAAGAAAUAAUUUGGACUAAUUGUGGAGAUAACGGUGUUAAGAUCUCACAAAUCAGUACAAACUAAAGCAAGAGGAUGAUAAAAAAGCUCUAGAUUCAAAUAAUGGAAAAAAUAAUCUAUGACUUUUUGCAUAUUGGCAAGCACAACAAAUAUUAUGUCAAUGAAAGUAAUUAGAGAUAUUACAAGAUAUAAGAAUCUGCUUCAAAGUACCAACAAUAGGAUGACCAAGGCGAGAACACCAAAGUUUGGCCAAGUUAUUCAAAUUCCUAGUAGAAGAGCCAUGACCGGAAGUAAGGAGGGCUAAAGGUGCAUCACAAUAUUUAUUGUGUUUCCAAAAAUACAUUAAUAGAUUAAAAAUUAAUCCAAAAAAAAAAAUCAUUUUACAAUAAUUAAUCCCUCUCUAAUUUAUUUUUCAUUACUGCGAUAUUUCAUCUUUAUUAAUCAAAAUAAAUGUCCAAAAAAAAUAUCAAAUUAAAUAAAUAUAAACUUUAAAUUAUCAACUACAAAGAACAAUCAAAUUUAAGAAUCUUUUAUGUAUCCUCUAUUUUUAUUGAAAGAAUCUUUUAAGAUUGCUUGCUUGGGUUGGGUGAGAAUAAGAAUGGGGUUUAAUAUCCUUCAUUCAAUAAUCCCAUGUCUAAUAAGAAUGGGGUUUAAUAUCCUUCCUUCCUUCGUUCAAUAAUCCCAAGUCUUAUGAUUUAUGGUUUAUUAUGUUAUUAGAAUUUUGUGGGUUGCUUGAUUAUUAUGAUUUUUAUGAUUUGUUGGGUUAUUGGGAUUUUGUGGUUUGUUUAAUUGUUAAAACUUAAUAGAAAAUAGUUUUUUUUUUUUAAUUUAAUCUUAGCGCUUUGGUGUUAGAUAGAGCACUUUUUAUUUUUAAGAAGUGUAUCCUAAUUUAAAAAAUAAAAUAAAAGUCUCACAAAUUUUUGCAUUUUAUAUAAAAAUUAUUAUUAUUAUUAUUUAUUUUUAAGAAAUGUAUCUCUUAGUCUCUCUUGGUAUGAUUUUCUUUUUCAUUUUGGUUUUGAAUUUUUGGGAACGAGCAUGUGCUAGCAUGAAUAUGGGAAAUGAUCAAUUAUAAGGGAAAUAAUGAAAUAGAGAGAUAAGGAGAUGCAUAGAAUUAAAAAUAACAAAUAAAAAAUAAAAAUAAUCAAGAAAAUGCACCAUACCAAGAUUCCGCCCUAAUCCACAUUCCCAUAAAUUAAUGACAAUCAAAUAUUAAUAAGGAUUAAAUACACUUACCUUCCUCUUCAUUGUUAGUGUAUUUCACACUUUUCCCUCUUAUAUUUUUAGGUCAAAAUUUUACUCUAAACUUGUUAAACACCAACAUUUUGCACCUAAUUGCAAACUCUUUGUAAAAUUAUAAAAGGGAUCGUUUUUUUUUUCACUAUCUCGUUCAAGCACUGAUUUAAACUUGGAUAGAAAUAACUUUGAAUUAACAACUUUCAAGUGAAAUUUCUUAAAUGCCUUUAAAAUAUAGUAGUUACUAAUUUUGAUUUUUAAUUUUAUAUAGAUGUUUGCAUGACUAGUUGUGAUUUUUAUAUGUCAUUACACAGUUUGGCAACUUCGAAUUUAAAUAAUAAAUAUUUUUUUUUUAUUACAUUUUCAACUUUGUUUCUUUACUUAACAACUUAUUCAUGAACUUUUUAAUAAGUUUAAGAGGUAAAUUGUUAUUUUUUAACAAAUCUAGGAAACAAAGUGUUGACUUUUGAAUGUGAAGGGUCAAAAUGUAAAAUAGGCCAAAGAUUAAAAGGGUAAAUUGUAUUUAACCCUAUUAAUAAUAUUUGUUUCUUUUAAUUUUAGGGUAUUCAUUAUUAUUAUUUUUAUAUAACUUACUAUAUAAAGUUUGAAAAAAAAGGGAUUUAAUACAUUCAUUAUUAAAUUAUCAAACUUUUUAGCAUGUACACUUGGGUAAAUAUAGACUCCUCUUUGUAGUUUAUAUAGGAUAAUAUUUACGUCUUCUAGUGAAUUUGAUAACAAAAGGAGUAGAAUAAUUUUAUUUUUAUUAAAAUAAGGAUAAGUGUGAUGUUUUAGAUAAUUUAAUUAAAUAAAAAUCUUCUUUCUAUAUUGCAUUUGAGGAAGAAAAAUGAUAGGUCUCUUCCAAGGAUGCCAAGAGGCCACCUCAUAAUUUAUCUUCUACAUUGUCUUUAAGGAAAACUUGAUAGGAUUAGUUAACUUAUGUCUAGGUUUGCUCAUUGUCUUUAAGGACAACUUGAUAGGAUUAGUUGACUUUGGUCGGAUAUAAUCAUGUUUCAAUCAAAUUCAUGUCCAUUUAUAUAACAUGUUUAACAAAAAAAUUACAAAUUAUUUUUUGAUCAACCUACAUAAUAUAAAUUUGAAUAGAAUUGAUCCAUUUAAUAAUUAUGUUGGUUAACCUUAUUAUAACCACAUCAUAUUUAACUUGCAUUUAACUCAUUAAAAAUUUGAUUUUAAAUAACUAGAUUAAUUGAGUAAAAAAUGUAUAAUAUUGUUUGGAGGUUAAUUUCGUCUUGAUUAUUAAAUAAGAUUUUAUUGGAAAUCUUUAGAUUAUCUUUUGAAAAAGUCUAGGAUUCAAUAUAUAAAAAAAAAGAGUUGUUUCACCGUUCAAUUCUUCACCCUAGGUCGAGAAUGGAACCAUAGUAAAAUCGGGAAUCACUUUGUUUCACAUCACAAAAAGCCUUUCACCUCUUUUCAGAUAACUUUUCUUCUAGAGUUCUCUUUGUCUUUUUUUUUCAGAGAAGAAUUAAAAGUAAGCAAGAGAGUGAGUGAGAGAGAUCUCUUUUUAUUAUUAUUAUUUAUUUAGUGGGUGGUUUCUAACUGUUCCAACUCCCACAAAUUGCUCCCCGCAAUCUCUAAUUUGGUUGGAUCGGGUUAGGUCAACCUAACUUAGACAACCACCCAACUCCAAUAGAUUUCAUUACUAAAUGGGCUACAAAACUUGGUAUCUAUUUGAUAAUUGGUUGAUAUUUGAUACUUUUAAUUCAAUUAUGGUUCGUAUCCUAUUUGAAAUGAUUUAUUUAUGACCCAUCAACAUAAAUUGUCAUCCUUACAACUUCCUCAUUUAAUUUUUUAAAAUUAUUUUUAUUUUUAUUUUAUAUUUUAGUUAUAUUAAAAGUAAAUAUAAUUUAAAAAUAAAUAAGUAUUAUUAAUUUUUAUAAUUUAUUUUGAUAAUAAUUUUUUAUAUAUGUUUCUAAUUUUUUAUUUAUGGUAUAUAUAAUCACAAUAAGGCAAUAGGUAAAUUCGCCCUAGGUUAAAAAAAAAAUUUCUAAAUGAGACCUGAACUUAUAUAUAUCUCUUUGGCCAAUAUCAUGUUUAUUUUCAUCCCUAAUUUGUCCAAGUCUAAAUAAUUUAGUUUCUUUAGGCCUAGCACUUUAAAAGUUCCAAUUGAAUUUAAAAUAUUACUUUUAGCAUUUGAAAAGCUCUAUGAAAUAAGAUUUAUAUGUCUUAUUAUUUAUAAUGCUUAAGAAAACUUUCAAAUUUAGAAAGACAUUAUUACAUCCAUCUUAGAUAUGAUUUAACAUUAUUUAGAGUGUGUUUGAAAGUGAUUUUAGAAAACGUUUUUAACAAUUAUAACACUUGAAUGAUAAAAUUUUUUAAGUAUUAAAAAUAUUAAAAGCUCUUCUUAAAAUCAUAACCAAAUUAGUUUUUACAGUAUGUUUAACACUAAUUAUAAGUUCUUUUUAACUUUAAAAGUGUUUUUGAAAAAAAAUUAGAUGUUUGACAAAAUUUUAAAAAUUACUUGUAGUAAUUUUUUAGAGAAAUACUUUAUAAGUGAUUUUCCUAAAAACUCUUUUUGAGAAAACACUUCUAUUAAAAACACUUUGAGUAGAAAUAUUGUCAAACAUACUCCUAGUAUGUUUCAAAAAAUAUAUGAAAAUAUUAGAUCCAAAAAUCUAUUUUUAACAUUAUAUUUGAUUACAACAAAAUACUAAAGGGAGAAAAAAAAAAUUAAGAAAAAUGAUUUUGUUUGAUUGUACUAUAAAAAAUAUUAAAGAAAAUCAAAUAUAAUUAAAACUAAUUUAGAAACUUAUAUAUUUUAAAAUUAUUUAAUCUUUAUAUCGAUGAGUUGAAAUAAAUAAAAUAAGUUUAAAGAAUAAAAUGAAAAUGAUUUAUUGAGUUUUACUUUACCUUUUUUUAUUUUUUUUUAUUUUUCUUUUUUUCUACUUUUUCUUACAUUUUCCUUUAAAUUUUUUUGAACCAAACAUAGCCUAAGGAAUUAUCUACAAAGUGGACAUUUUUUUAUAAUUUAAAUUCAUUCUAAAAUAAAUAUUCGUCGUUACUCAAAAUAAGUAUUGUCCACAAAAAAAAUGAUCAAAUUAAAUAAUAUAAAAUUUUAAAUUAUUUGAUACAAUUGCAACCAAGAUGUUAAGAAUAAAAUAUUUACAAGCUAUUGAAAGUCGGAGACGUGACAUGUUGGGGUGGACCAAGACUUGUUCCCGCUAGAGUUGCUGACAAUCUAUUUAUAAAGAUAACGCUUAUCUGCAACAUCAUUUCCUUAUUUUUUUUUAACAUCUAAAAUCUUAGUUGUGAAGAUAUAUAUAUAUAUAUUGUUUCAUUGACUAAGAGAUUUUUUGGGAAUAAAGAAAGAAGAAAACAUGGUAAAAAUGAAAGAGGAAAAAGAAGAAAAUAAACGAAGACGACCAGAAAUGAAGAAAGAGAAGGGAAAAGAGAGAGAAGCAGCGAGGAAAGUUCGGGGUUAGGGUUAUAUUUUGGGAAAAGGAAAGAUAAGUUUUAUUUUUAUGUUUAUUUGUUAAAAAAGAGAGUGACACACCGUGACAACGAGAGACAAAGUGGGCCCUUUAAUAAUCCUAUCUACAAAUCCAGUGGCUCAUUUAUGAAAAUACAUUUUGUCCACAUCCAGGCAGCUGUGGAGUAGUUGGAAUGGUAUUCCCUGAAGCAUCCGAAGAGGUGGUGUUGAAACUCAAGGAAGGAGAUAUAAUACCAGUGCCCUCUGGAGCAGUUUCAUGGUGGUACAAUGAUGGAGACUCAGAACUAGUUAUCGUAUUCCUUGGUGAAACUUCCAAGGCCUAUGUUCCCGGAGAAUUCACAUACUUCCUAUUAACUGGAACCCAAGGAAUCCUUGGAGGUUUUUCCACUGAAUUUAACUCCAGAGCCUAUAAUAUCAGCAACGAAGAAGCCAAAAAGCUUGCCAAAAGCCAAACUGGUGUUUUGCUUAUUAAGCUACCAGAGGGUCAAAAAAUGCCCCACCCCUGCAAGAACAGUACUGAUAAAUUGGUGUACAAUAUUGAUGCUGCAUUACCUGAUAUCCACGUCCAAAAUGCUGGGUUGCUUACUGCCUUGACAGCAAAGAAGUUUCCCUUCCUUGGAGAAGUUGGGCUCAGCGCCACCCUUGUGAAGAUGGAUGCCAAAUACGCGGCAGAUUCGUCGGUUCAAGUAAUUUAUGUUGCAAAAGGGAGUGGAAGGAUUCAAGUUGUUGGCAUCAAUGGUGAACGUGCCUUGGACACGAAAGUGAAGGCUGGCCACUUGUAUGUUGUGCCAAGGUUCUUUGUGGCCUCUACCAUUGCAGACGGUGAAGGACUGGAGUACUUCUCAUUGUUAACAGCUACACAGUAAGCAUCAAUCUAACAAAUUGUUUUCUCUUUAAACAUCAUUGAUUGUGGGGUUAAUUACUAACUAUUUGUUACAUGUCAUUUGUUUGUUUACAGACAUGUAUUUGGCUAAUUUACUGGGAAAACAUCAGUAUGGGGAGCAUUAUCUCCACAAGUUUUACAGGCCUCGCUCAAUGUGGCUCCAGAGUUUGAGCAGCUUUUCAGGGCGAAGAUAAAAAAGGGCACCAUUCUUGUUCCUCCACAGAACUAGAUUGAUUAAUAACCAAGGGCCCUUAUGAUGUAUCAUCAUUUGUUUUCAGGAGUUACAGGGCUAUCAAAAUACAAUAAUUGUACUCCUAAGUAUUUCUUUUAUAUGUGUAUCCGUGAGAUGGAAAAUGUUGUACAACUAUUAAUUAUAUGGCAAUAAAUUAGGUUAUGAACCUUAG